CAUUCUCUCCUCUUCAUUUCCCCCCAAACGGCACGUCUAGAGAGCCCCCAGGCUGCUCGAAUUUUGCCUCGCAUGUCCGCAGCACUGCCGCACUAGUUCGUCGAAUUCGCGACGACGCUAUAUUUCGACGGUAGUCUCCGGCGAGCGAUUUCCGGCGAACUACUGCAGCUCGACGUCCGCGACUUCAUAAACGAGUUUCCCUUGUCAAUCCGAGCUCCACCGUCUGCCCCACCAUCGCCAAGGAGCACCGGAACGUCAAGGCCGGCGACAUCAGACGACAUUGCUGUGUGCGUCCCGUAUAUUGUGACUGUGAUAGCUGCAACGUGUGCGAUUGUGAAGAUUGUACCAACUCGUCCUCUCACCAAG
This is a long non-coding RNA of Lolium rigidum, 366 nucleotides long. RefSeq lists it as uncharacterized. Lineage: Eukaryota; Viridiplantae; Streptophyta; Magnoliopsida; Poales; Poaceae. The record is from RefSeq and is a predicted model, not a curated record. The transcript is spliced from 3 exons.